UGUUGUGUAUUCACCUGGCGGGCUAUGGUGCCCAGAGAGUUGGUCAAACACCUGUCUGGCUGUCGAUAUGAAGGUGCUUCUGUCUGGCUGUCAGUAUGAAGGUGUUCCUGUCUGGCUGUCAGUAUGAAGGUGUUUCUGUCUGGCUGUCAGUGUGAAGGUGUUUCUGUCUGGAUGUCGUGUGAAGGUGUUUCUGGCUGGCUGUCGUGUGAAGGUGUUUCUGGCUGUCAGUGUGAAGGUGUUUCUGUCUGGCUGUCAGUGUGAAAGUGUUUCUGUCUGGCUGUUGGUGUGAAGGUUUUUCUGGCUGUCAGUGUGAAGGUGUUUGUUUCUGUCUGGCUCUCGGUGUGAAGGUGUUUCUGGCUGUUGGUGUGAAGGUGUUUCUGUCUGGCUGUCAGUGUGAAAGUGUUUCUGUCUGGCUGUCAGUGUGAAAGUGUUUAUUUCUAGCUGUCAGUGUGAAGGUGUUUCUGUCUGGCUGUCGGUGUGAAGGUGUUUCUGUCUGGCUGUUGGUGUGAAAGUGUUUCUGGCUGUCAGUGCAAAGGUGUUUCCGUCUGGCUGUUGGUGUGAAAGUGUUUCUGGCUGUCAGUGCAAAGGUGUUUCUGUCUCGCUGUUAGUGUGAAAGUGUUUCUCUCUGUUGGCGUGAAGGUGUUUCUGGCUGUCGGUGUGAAGGUGUUUCUGUCUGGCUGUUAAGUGUGAAAUUGUUUCUCUCCAUCGAUGUGAAGGUUUUUCUGGCUGUCGGUGUGAAGGUGUUUCUGUCUGUUGGUGUGAAGGUGUUUCUGGCUGUUGGUGUGAAGGUGUUUCUGUCUGGCUGACACUGUGAAGGUGUUUCUAUCUGGCUGUCAGUGUGAAGGUGUUUCUGUCUGGCUGUCAGUGUGAAAGAGUUUCUGUCUGGCUGUUGGUGUGAAGGUGUUUCUGGCUGUCAGUGUGAAGGUAUUUGUUUCUGUCUGGCUGUUGGUGUGAAGGUGUUUGUUUAUGUCUGGCUGUUGGUGUGGAGGUGUUUCUGUCUGUUGGUGUGAAGGUGUUUCUGUCUGGCUGUUGGUGUGAAGGUGUUUUUUAGAAGGGAUUAAUUUUUAGACCGGUGGACUGUGGAUGAAGGACAUGACCCUCAUACCGUGAGCCUCACCCAGUCUGCUGGAGGCUGUGAGAGAAGAAGCCUGCAGUCCCCAAGGAGGAAGGAGCUCAGCCUCGGUUUUCAGCCUCAGCUGCAGCACUGGCUCUUCCCAGGGUUCGUGCCCACAGCCCACUCUAGGGAUUUCGGACCUGCAGCCCCCAUAUCCGGUGAAAUGAUUCCUUACAAUGGAUCUCUCUCUUUAUCCACAAACACCCCUAUGGGGUCUGUUCACUGUCCCACAUCACACAGUGUAAGUGACUGAUCUGGGCUGAACCCAGUUAUGAGGCCCUGGUCCACACUCUUGCCCUCCAGGAAUCUGUCCCUGUGGCUGGAUUCUGCCCUCCAUGGGAGGGGCCCCCACAUCAUCUGUGCUGCUGAGAGAGACACAUCUCGGCUCCCAGGCCACGUCGGGACCCACCUAGACCUCAGGUUCCUCUCUGUCUUCACGAUUCUGCAGAACCAACCCUGAAACCUCAGCACGAGACAGUGUGACUGUAAUUACAUGAUCCAGUCAAUGUCUGCAGCCUUCAAAGCUCUGUCCCUGGAGACGCAUGUGACUCCUCUGAAGCAGAUCCACCUGUGGAUGCCACAGAGCCAGCCACAGCCCCCUCUUCCUGCCAGGAGACCCCGGACUCAGGGCCCCCAUGCUCCAUGCAUGCCCACCCCUGAAACCCUCUGCAGGAACCAUGGGGCAAAGAGAAGGGGAAAGCACGAAGUCCAACCACAGGCAGGCCAGCCCC
Long non-coding RNA from Nomascus leucogenys (northern white-cheeked gibbon), 1845 nucleotides. RefSeq lists it as uncharacterized. NCBI's taxonomy places the organism in Eukaryota, Metazoa, Chordata, Mammalia, Primates, Hylobatidae. The transcript has 3 exons. The record is from RefSeq and is a predicted model, not a curated record.